UGCAAUUGUCAGGAAUGUCUCCAAAGCUAC
This 30-nucleotide non-coding RNA is filed under the name Mus musculus (house mouse). Lineage: Eukaryota; Metazoa; Chordata; Mammalia; Rodentia; Muridae. The record is from RNAcentral.